GGGCGGGUAGUCUAGCGGUUAUGACUCCCUGAUGGAAACGGCGGAGGCCCCAGGUUCAAAUCCUGGCCCGCCCACCA
Molecule: transfer RNA, 77 nt
Filed under: Candidatus Bathyarchaeota archaeon
Lineage: Archaea; Thermoproteati; Candidatus Bathyarchaeota
Description: tRNA-Ser
Rfam family: tRNA
About the family: Transfer RNA (tRNA) molecules are approximately 80 nucleotides in length. Their secondary structure includes four short double-helical elements and three loops (D, anti-codon, and T loops). Further hydrogen bonds mediate the characteristic L-shaped molecular structure. tRNAs have two regions of fundamental functional importance: the anti-codon, which is responsible for specific mRNA codon recognition, and the 3' end, to which the tRNAs corresponding amino acid is attached (by aminoacyl-tRNA synthetases). tRNAs cope with the degeneracy of the genetic code in two manners: having more than one tRNA (with a specific anti-codon) for a particular amino acid; and 'wobble' base-pairing, i.e. permitting non-standard base-pairing at the 3rd anti-codon position.
Source: RNAcentral